RNAcentral lists this non-coding RNA (29 nucleotides) under Rattus norvegicus (Norway rat). Lineage: Eukaryota; Metazoa; Chordata; Mammalia; Rodentia; Muridae. The record is from RNAcentral.
UUCCUGUCAUGGUAGCUGGAAGUCAUGUU